GGGCCCGCACAAGCGGUGGAGCAUGUGGUUUAAUUCGACGCAACGCGAAGAACCUUACCAGCUCUUGACAUGGGUAGUAUGGGCCUGGGCGACUGGGCUCUUCAGUUCGGCUGGCUACCACACAGGUGCUGCAUGGCUGUCGUCAGCUCGUGUCGUGAGAUGUUGGGUUAAGUCCCGCAACGAGCGCAACCCUCAUCUUCAGUUGCCAUCAGGUUAAGCUGGGCACUCUGGGGAAACUGCCGGUGACAAGCCGGAGGAAGGCGGGGAUGACGUCAAGUCCUCAUGGCCUUUAUGGGCUGGGCUACACACGUGCUACAAUGGCGGUGACAGUGGGUUCUGCGCGAAGGGGCGACCCGGAGCCAAUCCCCAAAAGCCGUCUCAGUUCGGAUUGCACUCUGCAACUCGAGUGCAUGAAGCUGGAAUCGCUAGUAAUCGCGGAUCAGCACGCCGCGGUGAAUACGUUCCCGGGCCUU
RNAcentral lists this ribosomal RNA (473 nucleotides) under uncultured bacterium. Its description in RNAcentral is "bacterial SSU rRNA". It matches the Rfam family "Bacterial small subunit ribosomal RNA", at positions 917 to 1382 of the family's 1533-position model. The record is from RNAcentral.